CGUGAUGGACCUUAUAUGCCUACUUUACGUCUUCUGCAUCAAUAUCCAAAUAUAAUGAAAAAACUACAAGUUGACAGGGGCGCAAUUAAAUUUGUCCUCUCUGGAGCCAACAUAAUGUGUCCAGGUCUUACUUCUCCUGGGGGUGCUUUGGAUGUUGAAGUGGGGGCAGAAACUCCCGUGGCUAUUAUGGCUGAAGGGAAGCAACAUGCUCUAGCUAUUGGCUUUACAAAGAUGUCGGCAAAGGAUAUAAAGGCAAUCAACAAAG
This 265-nucleotide unclassified non-coding RNA is filed under the name Hevea brasiliensis (rubber tree). The record is from RNAcentral. Lineage: Eukaryota; Viridiplantae; Streptophyta; Magnoliopsida; Malpighiales; Euphorbiaceae.